AUUGAACGCUGGCGGCAGGCCUAACACAUGCAAGUCGAGCGAGCGGCGGACGGGUGAGUAAUGUCUGGGAACCUGCCUGAUGGAGGGGGAUAACUACUGGAAACGGUAGCUAAUACCGCAUACCAUCAGAUGUGCCCAGAUGGGAUUAGCUGGUAGGUGGGGUAAAGGCGCACCUAGGAGACGGUCCCUAGCUGGGCUGAGAGGAUGACCAGCUACACUGGAACUGAGACACGGUCCAGACUCCUACGGGAGGCAGCAGUGGGGAAUAUUGCAAAAUGGGCGCAAGCCUGAUGCAGCCAUGCCGCGUGUAUGAAGAAGGCCGUCGGGUUGUAAAGUACUUUCAGCGGGGAGGCGUUACCCGCAGAAGAAGCACCGGCUAACUCCGUGCCAGCCGCCGCGGUAAUAC
RNAcentral lists this ribosomal RNA (406 nucleotides) under uncultured bacterium. RNAcentral's name for it is "partial 16S ribosomal RNA". It matches the Rfam family "Bacterial small subunit ribosomal RNA", at positions 29 to 526 of the family's 1533-position model. The record is from RNAcentral.